AUGCUCGCUUUGGCAGCACAUAUACUAAAAUUGGAACGAUACAGAGACGAUUAGCAUGGCCCCUGCACAAGUAUGACACGCAAAUUCAUGAAGCGUUCCAUGUUUAA
RNAcentral lists this small nuclear RNA (107 nucleotides) under Myotis davidii. The record is from RNAcentral. Lineage: Eukaryota; Metazoa; Chordata; Mammalia; Chiroptera; Vespertilionidae.